Cinara cedri is the source of this 1638-nucleotide non-coding RNA. Lineage: Eukaryota; Metazoa; Arthropoda; Insecta; Hemiptera; Aphididae. The record is from the annotation of a GenBank genome assembly.
AUAAUAAUCGAAAAAAAUUUGACAAAUUUAAAAUUGUGCUAAAAAUAUUAUGUUCAUAUUAUGGAAAUAUUUUUUUUGCUAUGGGGAUUAAAACAGCUGGAUUAUUUCAAUUAAUUCGACUUUUCAUUCUUUUAGGCAUGAACAAUUAACCUUCAUUGUACGUUAUGUUAGCUUGACGAAAAAAUCCCCGUGUAAUAUUGUAUGAAAUAAUAUUAUAACUAAAGAAAUCGCCAUUAAUUACGGGUCGUCAGCUUUUUUCAAUAGUUCAAGAUAUUUGUUUUAAAAAUGAAGUAAACCUGAAAUUAUUACUUAUUGGUUAGAGAUAUAGCAACAUACGAGAACAAUAUGAAGGUUUGUAAGCGUUUUUACAAGAAGUAAACUUGCCUGCUGUGAAUGUAUGGUGUUAUGUACACCGUUUAAACCUUGUAGGGGUUCAAGUUGCUAGUAGUUCCGCUGAUGCAGUAAACAUAUUGGGUAGUGUUGUAAUGUUAUGCUCACACAACAUACCCAAGUAGAAUUAUUUAUAUUUAUAACAGUGUGACAAAAUAUUUGAACGCAUUCAAUUACUUGGUAUUUUCUAUUGAAAAAGGCUAGUUAUUCAAUAAUUAUAACCGAGCAUUCGUUGUUCGAGAGGAAUACAUAUAGAUGUCCCACAAGGAUAUACCCAUUUUGAUAACUCCGGAAAUAACAAAGGUAAUCAAAUUCUGUUUUUUUUUCUCAUAGGGAAAAGGAUUACAAAUAUUUAUAUUUAUAAUUAUGUGUAUUUAAAUACAUUCUUAUGUUUUGGUAAAAAAAAAUGUAUCCAAAAAUAACUUUUUAUUUUAUUGUUAUGGAAAAAAGUCGAAUUAAUCGUUUUGUAAUUGUAGAUUCUUCUGGACACUUUGACCCAUCGAGUUGUGCAAAUGCAACACAUUGUGUUAAGGACUGUGUCCUUCACGUGUUGAAGUUUGUUAAUUAUAAAUUAAUAAUUCCACGCGACAAGAUAUGAAAUCGGUCGCGCAUUAAGUGUACGCACGUCAGGGCUGUUAAUACGGGUGUGGUAAACCGACGUCGUUCCCAGGCAACAACGGAUGAUACGUCUUCACGGGCCAAUGGGAAAACGUGUACGGGUACGGACGACGUGCCACCAGCAGACAACGGCGGCAGCGUCCACCACCACCUAGGGCUCGAUCGAGGCGACAAACGUAUAUUAGGAGACCGGGAUCAUCACCAAGAGACGGUUUAGCUUAGUCGGAAGUCGAUACCACCAUCGACGCGCGAGGAGGAGUACCGGUCACCUCGACGCCAACCCGUUCAGUCAUUUCCAUAGUGCGCUUAUACCUGAUAAUUACAACUAAUUGUUGACCCGGGUUCUGGUGUCGUACGGUUUUCACUUAUGAAUAUAAUUUUUUUGACCGUGUUUUGUUUAAAUUCUAAUAAAACCAUUUGUAGACCUAAACGCGCUUGUACAUUCUUCUCGUCAAAAUACUGUAUCCAAACGUCCCGUAACAAUUGUUCGUGCGUAUUAUUAUGUAUUUUAAAGUUAACGAAAAUAUAAAUAAACUAUUAUAACAAUGAAAUAUCGCAAAUAAUAAUGGUAUUGCGUGUUUAUGUUGUAUCGACUUGAAAACAGGUUUUGAAUAUUAUAAUAUUAUUACA